UACGGGGGGGGCAAGCGUUGUUCGGAAUUACUGGGCGUAAAGGGCUCGUAGGUGGCCAACUAAGUCAGACGUGAAAUCCCUCGGCUUAACCGGGGAACUGCGUCUGAUACUGGAUGGCUUGAGUUCGGGAGAGGGAUGCGGAAUUCCAGGUGUAGCGGUGAAAUGCGUAGAUAUCAGGAGGAACACCGGUGGCGAAGGCGGGUCUCUGGGCCGUAACUGACGCUGAGGAGCGAAAGCGUGGGGAGCAAACAGG
This 253-nucleotide ribosomal RNA is filed under the name uncultured bacterium. Its description in RNAcentral is "partial 16S ribosomal RNA". It matches the Rfam family "Bacterial small subunit ribosomal RNA", at positions 524 to 776 of the family's 1533-position model. The record is from RNAcentral.